UAGAAAUAACAUCUAGCCGAGCUCAAGGAUUGGAGAUCCGUUUCAAUCUUGCCGAGCUCAAGGAUUGCAAUUUCGUGUCAAUCCUGGUACACAGUCACGAGCUGUAGUACAACAAAAUUCAAUGAUGGUGGGUCGUAGAUGAAUAGUAAAGCUGCAUGCAAAUAUUGCAUAGCCCCAAGACGCAAUAGAAAGAGUGGUGCGCAUCAAUAAUGUUCGAGCGACAAGCUAAAGUUGCUUGGUCGUAGCCUUGGUGAGACCGUAUUGCGUGUGAACAUGGGGUACAGGACACUUCAACUUACAUCCCGAUGAACUUCUUUAAAGAAUGGGUAGUGAGCCCGUAGAAGUAUAAGCAGUAGAUAAUAGUGUAACACGUGACCAGUGUGUUAACACGUCAACCAACACCAUAAAGCAUAAAAAGGUGUCCGCAAGUUGGUUGUACCUAUCUACAUAGUUUGAUGUAAGAAUAAAAUGUUCACUUUUGUGUUAUUUAGCGUAGGAGGGUCUCACUCCUUAUUUAGCUAAAGAAUAGGCUUUUAAAAAGAGCAAUGAGCAUUGCAGGAGGCCAAUGCGACAUCGAGGAAAGACCGGUGCACCUCAAUUGCUUGAGGAAUUGACCGGACGACCUCUAGGAAGUUGGAGUCGUGUUCGGGUGACGUCAAUGUCCCCCGGGUCACCACCAUGCUUCAUGGUGAUGCUAGAUCUCGAAUAUUUUCGUUUUGAACGGAAGAAUGGAUGUCCAUGAGAAUUUCUCAAAAUUUGGACCAUUAUAUCUCUUCCAGGUUGACCAAUUUGGUCAAACCAAAGCCUAUAUGAGUCGGUGUCCCAAAUAUCAUGUUUGGCGACAACAUGAGAUUCGAUAUUCGAAUCGUAGUGACAUACAUUGACUCAUGAAUUUCUCCAAGAUGCGCUUCAGUUCGCAUUCAUGAGGAGGUAUACACAAAAGAAUUACUUGUUCAUUCUC
Molecule: long non-coding RNA, 961 nt
Filed under: Fragaria vesca (wild strawberry)
Lineage: Eukaryota; Viridiplantae; Streptophyta; Magnoliopsida; Rosales; Rosaceae
Description: long non-coding RNA (FVES_LNC004122)
Source: RNAcentral